GUCUUCAUCACGGCGACCGUGACCAUGACUUCCUCCCGAUCGGACUCGGAGUACGACGCGUAGUCGUUGUUGCGUUCGACGAGAUACCCCAGGGUGCCGUUGCGCCGUUCUGCCAGCGGCCGGAGCCGUCCCACCAGCUCGGUGAGCUGGGUCGCCCGCUCCCGGAUCGCGCACGUGGAGGCACGAGCGACCUCGAGUUCCUGUUCCAUCCGGUCCACCUCGAGCGCGUUCGCUUCCGCGUUGGCCA
This 247-nucleotide unclassified non-coding RNA is filed under the name uncultured fungus. Its description in RNAcentral is "sequence contains ITS1". Lineage: Eukaryota; Fungi. The record is from RNAcentral.